CUCGUAGGCGGCUUGUCGCGUCGGCUGUGAAAACCUGGGGCUCAACUCCGGGCCUGCAGCCGAUACGGGCAAGCUAGAAUUCGGGUAGGGGAGACUGGAAUUCCUGGUGUAGCGGUGAAAUGCGCAGAUAUCAGGAGGAACACCGGUGGCGAAGGCGGGUCUCUGGGCCGAAAUUGACGCUGAGGAGCGAAAGCGUGGGGAGCGAACA
Molecule: ribosomal RNA, 208 nt
Filed under: uncultured bacterium
Lineage: Bacteria
Description: partial 16S ribosomal RNA
Rfam family: Bacterial small subunit ribosomal RNA
Source: RNAcentral